RNAcentral lists this ribosomal RNA (548 nucleotides) under uncultured bacterium. Its description in RNAcentral is "bacterial SSU rRNA". It matches the Rfam family "Bacterial small subunit ribosomal RNA", at positions 355 to 895 of the family's 1533-position model. The record is from RNAcentral.
UAGGGAAUCUUCGGCAAUGGACGGAAGUCUGACCGAGCAACGCCGCGUGAGUGAAGAAGGUUUUCGGAUCGUAAAGCUCUGUUGUAAGAGAAGAACGAGUGUGAGAGUGGAAAGCUCACACUGUGACGGUAUCUUACCAGAAAGGGACGGCUAACUACGUGCCAGCAGCCGCGGUAAUACGUAGGUCCCGAGCGUUGUCCGGAUUUAUUGGGCGUAAAGCGAGCGCAGGCGGUUAGAUAAGUCUGAAGUUAAAGGCUGUGGCUUAACCAUAGUACGCUUUGGAAACUGUUUAACUUGAGUGCAAGAGGGGAGAGUGGAAUUCCAUGUGUAGCGGUGAAAUGCGUAGAUAUAUGGAGGAACACCGGUGGCGAAAGCGGCUCUCUGGCUUGUAACUGACGCUGAGGCUCGAAAGCGUGGGGAGCAAACAGGAUUAGAUACCCUGGUAGUCCACGCCGUANCGAUGAGUGCUAGGUGUUAGACCCUUUCCGGGGUUUAGUGCCGCAGCUAACGCAUUAAGCACUCCGCCUGGGGAGUACGACCGCAAGGUU